AUAAGACACCUCUACUAUUUUCAUUAGAAAUGUCUACCAUUAACAUAAGAGAAAUCAAAUAAAAGUAGACUUUCUGGAAAUCUAAAUUGUUCUUGAGAUUGAACCAACCCAAGGUAAAAGAUGCAAAGUCUACAUAACAUAACAUACAACUACUUUUUUCAUAAGAAAUGUCUACCAUUAACAUAAGAGAAAUCAAAGAAAAGUAGACUUUCUGGAAAUCAAAAUUGUUUUUGAGAUUGAAUCAAUAAUGGAAGGUGAAAGUUGCAAAGUCUACAUUUAACAUAAGACACGUCUACCAUUAACAUAAGAGAAAUCAAAGAAAAGUAGAUUUUCUGGAAAAUUGAAUUGUUCUUGAGAUUGAAUCAAUGAAUAUUCACAAAAUGAAAAUUGACCGUCUGAUGUGAUCAUUAUAGUGAAACAUGGCUAUGGUAAUAAAAUUCAACUGGAUUCAACAAUGUUCGGUGCUCGAUCAAAGCGGUUAACCCUAAUUCAUCUUCACUUAUCACACGAAAACUAUCUUACCUACCUCUUCGUGACCUAGUUUGGUGGAUUCUUCAACACAAUAAAGUGUCACAUAGGUGAGACAUAACCACCCAUGUAAAACUUUGGGGACGUUUACCACCCGAGGAUAGGGCUCUCCUUAUUGCAGCAUAAGCGUAAAUAGGGUUGACCGCUUCGAUCGGGGCCCAAACAUUGGCGAAUUAAAGUGAUUUUUCCACCGUAGCUGUAUUUUACUAUAUCGAUCACAUCAUAUUUCACGAGAUUUUUGAAAAUUUUGCUUCCUCUAUAUAGUUGGUUCAUAAAGUUGUACACUAGCAUAUAACCUAUCAAACAAGUUAUAUUACUUUAGUAGGCAUGUUAUGAUUUCGAUGACUAAAAUUCACAACAUGAAAAUUGACCAUAUGAUGUGAUCAUUAUAGUGAAACAUGAUUAUGGUAUAAAAUUCAACUGGAUUCAACAAUGUUCGGGGCUCGAUCAAAGCGGUCAACCCUAAUUCAUAUUCAUUUAUCACACGAAAACUAUCUUACCUACCUCUUUGUGACCUAGUUUGGUGGAUUCUCCAACACAAUAAAGUCUCACAUAGAUGAGAUUUAACCACCCAUGUAAAACUUUGGGUACAUUUACCACCCGAGGAUAGGGCUCUCCUUAGUGAAACAUAAACGUAAAUAGGGUUGACCGCUUCGAUCGGGGCCCAAACAUUGGCAAAUUAAAGUGAUUUUUCUACCGUAGCCAUAUUUUACUAUACCGAUCACAUCCUAUUUCACAAGAUUUUUGAAAAUUUUGCUUCCUCUAUAUAGUUGGUUCACAAAGUUGUACACUAGCAUAUAACCUACCAAACAAAUUAUACCACAUUAGUAGGUACGUUGUGAUUCCAAUGACUAAAAUUUAGACGCAGUUGUGAAGUGGGUCCCGCCAGUGGUCUGUGACAUUUUUCGGUGAAUUUUUCUGACACUGGAGCUAUUUUCUAUGCAUUUUUAAAGUUUUGAAAUGGUAGGAAAAAAAGUAAAACUUUAAUGACAUGGACAGAUUAGUGACUUAGGACGAAUGAGGU
Molecule: long non-coding RNA, 1552 nt
Filed under: Fragaria vesca (wild strawberry)
Lineage: Eukaryota; Viridiplantae; Streptophyta; Magnoliopsida; Rosales; Rosaceae
Description: long non-coding RNA (FVES_LNC003004)
Source: RNAcentral